RNAcentral lists this transfer RNA (71 nucleotides) under Marmota monax (woodchuck). RNAcentral's name for it is "tRNA.Ala". It matches the Rfam family "tRNA". Rfam says of the family: Transfer RNA (tRNA) molecules are approximately 80 nucleotides in length. Their secondary structure includes four short double-helical elements and three loops (D, anti-codon, and T loops). Lineage: Eukaryota; Metazoa; Chordata; Mammalia; Rodentia; Sciuridae. The record is from RNAcentral.
GAGGUUGUAGCCCAGUGGUAGAGCGCUUGCCUUGCAUGUAUGAGACCCUGGGUUCGAUCCUCAGCACCACA